AAGAAGCUCCCAAGCGUUUGGCUGUUCGCCAAUUAAAAGGGCACGCGAGCUGGGUUCAGACCGUCGUGAGACAGGUUGGUCUCUAUCUGUUGCAGGCGUAAGUAUUUGAGGGGAGUUGUCCUUUGUACGAGAGGAUCAGGAUGAACAAACCUCUGGUCUACCGGCUUUACCACCAGGUGAAUCGCCGGGUAGCUAUGUUUGGAAGGGAUAAGCGCUGAAAGCAUCUAAGCACGAAGCCCACCCCAAGAUUAGAUACUAUGAUCUCGUCGAAGACUACGACGUUGAUAGGCUCUAGGUGUAAGCACCGUAAGGUGUUUAGCCGAGGAGUACUAAAGAUCGCCGACCAUCCCCA
Molecule: non-coding RNA, 352 nt
Organism: Candidatus Roizmanbacteria bacterium
Lineage: Bacteria; Candidatus Roizmaniibacteriota
Source: Rfam